This 1415-nucleotide long non-coding RNA is filed under the name Anas platyrhynchos platyrhynchos (common mallard). RNAcentral's name for it is "lncRNA (ENSAPLG00000027490.1)". The record is from RNAcentral. Lineage: Eukaryota; Metazoa; Chordata; Aves; Anseriformes; Anatidae.
CUGAAAAACACAGCUGUUCUGUAUUUGGGUGCUUUAGGCACAGUACUCCCACUCAGCACUAGCUGUCUGCAUUGUCUCUCUAGUAUCUCUCUGAUUGCCCUUAAGGUUAACAAAUUCAUGACUAGUGAUAUGGUUGCAAAUACAACUGCAAUCCUCAGGGUGUGAAUGAGGUCAGGAUUCCAGAUAUGCAUUAGUAAAAGAGUUAGUGAUAAAUCUAAAUGAAGAAAGGCAGACAAGGAAGCAUUUUUAUGUGUAUUUUAUUAAUGAAAUGUUGAGAUAAGAGAGUAAGUCUAGGUCUGUACUAUGUUGUAAACACAGAGCUCUUGCAAGCUUGCAUUCUAACUUUGUUUUGAAACUCUCAGGAUGAGUCUGUGACCGUGAGUGGACAAUGAGCAAACUUGUCAACACAGGAAGACAAAAAGCUUAGCCCUGCUUUAUCCUUCAGGGCAAGCUGAAAGGAUAGAACAGGAAACCACAUUGGAUGCUUUCACUUUCUGCAAGGACAGAAAGGCAGUGAAGAAAACUGACAGUUGGAAAAAUGAGAUGAACUACUUAGUAAUUUUCAGCUCUUAAAUAAUUGCCAUGAUGCUGAGAAAAGCUUCUUCUUCAGAUGAGUUCCAUCUACAACUGAUUCUUAGACUGACAACCAAGGUAAAUUAGAAAUUAUUUUAAAAAGUUACUAUGUGAUUUAAAUCUUAUUUUAUUUUAAAAUCCUUAAAGAUAUAAAAGUGUGUUUGACCCAUGGACUUUUACAGACUCCCUGUACUCUAAAAUAUAUACUGGGGUAAAUUCCAGCAAUGUCCACUUUUAUACCAGUCAUUUGUAGCAACAUGAAAUUAUUUUCAGUAGCUGGAAAUAUUCAAAUAUAAGUUACUACAUCAUCAGACCCACUCCUGGAAGUGCUUUCUUGGUUUCACUUCAUUUCUUUUGUUAUAUUUUCAAGGAGGUCUACAGAAGAGAGAAAACAACUCCUAAAUGUCCUAAGAAAAACAGGCUACUUUUAUGUGACUAGAGUCUCAUUUUGAAUCAUGAUUGCUCUCUUUUGAACAAGGAAGGAACAACAAGAGAGGCAGAGAUAUUAAGUGUCUUACUUGUCAGAAAUACCUAAAUGAGAUAGCACACUACAAAGUGAUUAAAUAUACUAUUGCUCUAAGUCUAAAUCUAUAAAAGCUAGGAUAAAGAUUCUAUACCUGAAGCACUUGACUGGAAAACUUAAACAACUAUUCACAGGUUGGCAUAAAGGUGGAAAUGUAUUUUUUAAACAUAAUAGCUGAAAUAGAAUGUGCUUUUUGUUGUAUUAGAGGCAAAGGAAGAAAAUUAUAGCCAUCUGAAUCUUCUGACAGGUUUGUUUUUGAAUAUAGUGGGAUUGCACUUCCACAUAAAAUAUUGACUAAGUAAAGGACAUAACGUCCCUG